Small nucleolar RNA from Lotus japonicus, 147 nucleotides. RefSeq annotates it as small nucleolar RNA snoR138. The transcript has a single exon. The record is from RefSeq and is a predicted model, not a curated record. Lineage: Eukaryota; Viridiplantae; Streptophyta; Magnoliopsida; Fabales; Fabaceae.
UAUGCCUCCUGAAUAACUGAGCGGUGAUACAAAGAACACUGUUUGGUUCAGACAGAGGCGUAUAUCAAAUGUCAAACACUCGAAUUUGUUUUAGUGUACGGAACGAUACAACUUUUAUGUUCCUUACCUAGAUUAAUUUGGAUAUUU